Molecule: transfer RNA, 76 nt
Filed under: Nostoc sp. PCC 7107
Lineage: Bacteria; Bacillati; Cyanobacteriota; Cyanophyceae; Nostocales; Nostocaceae
Description: tRNA-Gln (TTG) (tRNA-Gln-TTG-2-1)
Rfam family: tRNA
About the family: Transfer RNA (tRNA) molecules are approximately 80 nucleotides in length. Their secondary structure includes four short double-helical elements and three loops (D, anti-codon, and T loops). Further hydrogen bonds mediate the characteristic L-shaped molecular structure. tRNAs have two regions of fundamental functional importance: the anti-codon, which is responsible for specific mRNA codon recognition, and the 3' end, to which the tRNAs corresponding amino acid is attached (by aminoacyl-tRNA synthetases). tRNAs cope with the degeneracy of the genetic code in two manners: having more than one tRNA (with a specific anti-codon) for a particular amino acid; and 'wobble' base-pairing, i.e. permitting non-standard base-pairing at the 3rd anti-codon position.
Source: RNAcentral
AGCCCUGUGGUGUAAUUGGCAACAUCCCGCCCUUUGAAGGCGAAGACUCCAGGUUCGACCCCUGGCAGGGCUGCCA